CCCUUAGACGUUCUGGGCCGCACGCGCGCUACACUGACGAAGGCAACGAGCUUUCCUUUACCGAAAGGUACGGGUAAUCUUUUGAAACUUCGUCGUGCUGGGGAUAGAUCCUUGCAAUUUUUGAUCUUAAACGAGGAAUUCCUAGUAAGCGCAAGUCAUCAACUUGCGUUGAUUACGUCCCUGCCCUUUGUACCCACCGCCCGUCGCUACUACCGAUUGAAUGGUUUAGUGAGGCCUUCGGAUCCGCGACUCGUUUUGUGGAGAAGUUGGACAAACUCAGUCAUUUAGAGGAAGUAAAAGUCGUAACA
Molecule: ribosomal RNA, 308 nt
Filed under: uncultured eukaryote
Lineage: Eukaryota
Description: partial 18S ribosomal RNA
Rfam family: Eukaryotic small subunit ribosomal RNA
Source: RNAcentral